RNAcentral lists this long non-coding RNA (468 nucleotides) under Fukomys damarensis (Damara mole-rat). RNAcentral describes it as "lncRNA (ENSFDAG00000032185.1)". The record is from RNAcentral. Lineage: Eukaryota; Metazoa; Chordata; Mammalia; Rodentia; Bathyergidae.
UUUCCUUCUUGCUUAUCUCCUUCAAGCUGCUGGGACUGGGGUAGUCCCCAGGAUGCUGCCUCACUGGCUCCCCCAGCCCCAAACGCCCCACUUCCACAUCCAGAACGUUGUGGGCACUUUCACUUUGCCCUCUUCCCUCCGUGUAGUUCAUCCUUAGUCUGAGAGUCAGUGGCUCAGAUGGUCCUGUUAGACUUCCAGAGGCUUCUGUACCAACCCGGCCUACAAGCAGGAGCAGCAGGGCAGACCCCCUCACUGUACCCUCAGCAUGACACAGAUGCCACCAUCAAGAAGUGAGAGCUUCCAGCCUGUGGGCAGCCAGCAUCCUUUCAACUCACCCACCAUUACCAUUAGACUUGAAGGCCAAUCUCUCCCACUUCCUUUCCCCCCAAUAGAGGAGCAGUGUAAGGCUGGAAGGUAUAAAACCCACCCAUCUGCUGACUCCGACUUCACUGAAGAAACCGGCGAGCU